Magnolia sinica is the source of this 779-nucleotide long non-coding RNA. RefSeq lists it as uncharacterized. NCBI's taxonomy places the organism in Eukaryota, Viridiplantae, Streptophyta, Magnoliopsida, Magnoliales, Magnoliaceae. The record is from RefSeq and is a predicted model, not a curated record. The transcript has 2 exons.
UCAAGAAUGCACAUGUGUAGUUCAUCAAACAAUACAUUAUGUGAUAUCGUGUGCAUGAUAUCUAUGUUGUAAUUACAGUUAUCUAUAAUAAUAAUAAUUUGUUCAUUAUAGUACAUUCAGAAUAGUUAUCAUUGUGGUUAUAGUUAUUCAUUAUGUGACAGGUUUUCAAGUGAGAUGAACGAGCUUCAAAACAAAACGGUCUGCAGUUUUGAGAAGCAAUUCCCAUGAUGUAUGUGUGUUUCAGGGGCCAUCUGCACCUUGGAAGCAUACAAUGGAAGGAUGAUGGAAUAUACGAAGCUGUUACAGGAAGUGACUUUGUCAUUACUAGAGUUGCAUUUCGAGACAACUCUUUAAAGUACUACAUAAAUGACUGUGGAAGUAAUUUUACAGAGGUCACUAAGAAAUUGAAAGGAAAAGGAGUGGACUUGGACAACAAUCGGUUUUUGAUUCUUCAGGUGGGUGAUGGCUGAAAAAGGCAUAUUUACUUGUGAAAAAAUAUCAUACCGUCAAAAUAUAUCUUCUCUUUCAAUUCUUUAUCAUUGAAAUUUCAAGGUGAAGUCGAGCAAAUUUCUCUAAUGAAGCCAAAGAUUUGUAUUUUCAACAUUAUUAUAAUUGUAAUUGUAAUUGAUGGAAUGAAGGAUUGUAAUUGAUUGUAAUUGUAAUUGAUUGAAUGAAAGAUUGUAAUUGAUUUUAAUUGUAAUUGAUUGAAUGAAGGAUUGUAAUUGAUUGUAAUUGUAAUUGAUUGAAUGAAGGAUUGUAAUUAAUUGUAAUUGAAUGAA